GAUGAACGCUGGCGGCGUGCCUAAUACAUGCAAGUCGAGCGAACGGACGAGAAGCUUGCUUCUCUGAUGUUAGCGGCGGACGGGUGGGUAACACGUGGAUAACCUACCUAUAAGACUGGGAUAACUUCGUGAACCCGUAGCUAAUACCUGAUAAUAUUUUGAACCGCAUGGUUCCAUAGUGAAAUACGGUCUUGCUGUCACUUAUAGAUUGAUCCGCGCUGCAUUAGCUAGUUGGUAAGGUAACGGCUUACCAAGGCAACGAUGAGUAGCCGACCUGAGAGGGUGAUCGGCCACACUGGAACUGAGACACGGUCCAGACUCCUACGGGAGGCAGCAGUAGGGAAUCUUCCGCAAUGGGCGAAAGCCUGACGGAGCAACGCCGCGUGAGUGAUGAAGGUCUUCGGAUCGUAAAACUCUGUUAUUAGGGAAGAACAUAUGUGUAAGUAACUGGGCAGAUCUUGACGGUACCUAAUCAGAAAGCCACGGCUAACUACGUG
This 497-nucleotide ribosomal RNA is filed under the name uncultured bacterium. RNAcentral's name for it is "partial 16S ribosomal RNA". It matches the Rfam family "Bacterial small subunit ribosomal RNA", at positions 28 to 507 of the family's 1533-position model. The record is from RNAcentral.